AAGUCGUAACAAGGUUUCCGUAGGUGAACCUGCGGAAGGAUCAUUAACACGUAUCCAACGUUAAAACCCCUGUGAACUUUCAGCCUGCUCUUGUGGCCCGUGUGAAGCAGCAAUUCCGGUAAAUCAAGUGGGACCUCUGCUCCAUAUGCGCACGCUGCAAUUGAGCGGUAGAAGCAGUGGCAUGGCGUCCCCAAGCCUCCAGUGAAUGAAAGUGUCACUGGAAAGUGUAAGGAUAACGCUUCUCGGUUGCUAGAGGUCGAUCACCGACCGGCAGACAUGCCACAGGGUCACCGCGCCCCUAAUCACUCCCUCUGAACCGUACGCCGGCGCCGUUGAAAAGCUGCGCUAAAAAAAACCGAACAACUGUUAACAAUGGAUAUCUUGGUUCUC
RNAcentral lists this unclassified non-coding RNA (390 nucleotides) under fungal sp. RNAcentral describes it as "partial internal transcribed spacer region". The stretch from base 1 to 46 matches the Rfam family "Eukaryotic small subunit ribosomal RNA", at positions 1786 to 1831 of the family's 1831-position model. The record is from RNAcentral. Lineage: Eukaryota; Fungi.